ACGGGUGAGUAACACGUGGGUAACCUGCCUCAUAGAGGGGAAUAGCCUUUCGAAAGGAAGAUUAAUACCGCAUAAGAUUGUAGUGCCGCAUGGCAUAGUAAUUAAAGGAGUAAUCCGCUAUGAGAUGGACCCGCGUCGCAUUAGCUAGUUGGUGAGGUAACGGCUCACCAAGGCGACGAUGCGUAGCCGACCUGAGAGGGUGAUCGGCCACAUUGGGACUGAGACACGGCCCAGACUCCUACGGGAGGCAGCAGUGGGGAAUAUUGCACAAUGGGGGAAACCCUGAUGCAGCAACGCCGCGUGAGUGAUGACGGUCUUCGGAUUGUAAAGCUCUGUCUUCAGGGACGAUAAUGACGGUACCUGAGGAGGAAGCCACGGCUAACUACGUGCCAGCAGCCGCGGUAAUACGUAGGUGGCAAGCGUUGUCCGGAUUUACUGGGCGUAAAGGGAGCGUAGGUGGAUGUUUAAGUGGGAUGUGAAAUACUCGGGCUUAACCUGGGUGCUGCAUUCCAAACUGGAUAUCUAGAGUGCAGGAGAGGAAAGUAGAAUUCCUAGUGUAGCGGUGAAAUGCGUAGA
RNAcentral lists this ribosomal RNA (576 nucleotides) under uncultured bacterium. Its description in RNAcentral is "bacterial SSU rRNA". It matches the Rfam family "Bacterial small subunit ribosomal RNA", at positions 102 to 694 of the family's 1533-position model. The record is from RNAcentral.